Molecule: long non-coding RNA, 687 nt
Filed under: Rhinopithecus bieti (black snub-nosed monkey)
Lineage: Eukaryota; Metazoa; Chordata; Mammalia; Primates; Cercopithecidae
Description: lncRNA (ENSRBIG00000045608.1)
Source: RNAcentral
CAAAGUUGUGAGGAUGAAGAGCAGUGGUACUUAUAAGGCUGAGUAAAAAGCCUUGCUGAUGGCUUUUCAAAUAGACAGUUUGGUGGACUGCUCUACAUUUGGCCUGUGCCAAUGGCCAUCCAGAAGUGGUAAAACUCCUGCUGCACAGAAAAUGUCAACUUCACAUCUUGGAUGGGGAAAAGAGGACAGCUCUCAUAAAGGCUGUCCAAUGUCAGGAAGAGGAAUGUGCAACUAUUUUACUAGAACAUGGCACUGAUCCAAAUAUCCCAGAUGUCUAUGGCAACACUACUCUACAUUAUGCCAUCUAUAAUGAGGAUAAAUCAAUGACAAAAAAACUACUUUCUUAUGGUGCAAAUAUUGAAUCAGAAAACAAGGGUGGACUUACACCAUUUUUACUUGCCGUACAUGAACAAAAACAGCAAAUGGUGGAAUUUUUAGUAAAGAAGAAAGCAAAUUUAAAUGCUGUGGACAACUUUAAAAGAACAGCCCUCAUACUUGCUGUACGUUGUGGAUCAGAAAUUAUGGUCAGCAUUCUUCUUCAGCUAAAUAUUGAUGUAUUUUCUCAAGAUAUAUAUGGACGAACAGCAGGGGACUAUGCUGUUUCUAGGCAUUAUAUUAAGUAAGUGUUUACAUUGAAAGGCUAUUAACACUAAAAUGUUAAGGUUUACAAUACUUAUAAGUAUCAAA